UGGGGUUGUCGCUCAGUGGUAGAGCACUUGUCUUGCAUGUAUGAGGCCCUGGGUUCAAACCUCAGCACCACAA
This 73-nucleotide transfer RNA is filed under the name Marmota monax (woodchuck). Its description in RNAcentral is "tRNA.Ala". It matches the Rfam family "tRNA". From Rfam's summary of the family: Transfer RNA (tRNA) molecules are approximately 80 nucleotides in length. Their secondary structure includes four short double-helical elements and three loops (D, anti-codon, and T loops). The record is from RNAcentral. Lineage: Eukaryota; Metazoa; Chordata; Mammalia; Rodentia; Sciuridae.